RNAcentral lists this ribosomal RNA (492 nucleotides) under uncultured bacterium. RNAcentral's name for it is "partial 16S ribosomal RNA". It matches the Rfam family "Bacterial small subunit ribosomal RNA", at positions 29 to 507 of the family's 1533-position model. The record is from RNAcentral.
AGUGAACGCUGGCGGUAGGCCUAACACAUGCAAGUCGAACGGAAGCACAGUAAGAGCUUGCUCUUACGGGUGGCGAGUGGCGGACGGGUGAGGAAUACAUCGGAAUCUACUUUUUCGUGGGGGAUAACGUAGGGAAAAUUACGCUAAUACCGCAUACGACCUACGGGUGAAAGCAGGGGAUCUUCCGACCUUGCGCGAUUGAAUGAGCCGAUGUCGGAUUAGCUAGUUGGCGGGGUAAAGGCCCACCAAGGCGACGAUCCGUAGCUGGUCUGAGAGGAUGAUCAGCCACACUGGAACUGAGACACGGUCCAGACUCCUACGGGAGGCAGCAGUGGGGAAUAUUGGACAAUGGGCGCAAGCCUGAUCCAGCCAUACCGCGUGGGUGAAGAAGGCCUUCGGGUUGUAAAGCCCUUUUGUUGGGAAAGAAAAGCAGCAGGUUAAUACCCCGCUGUUCUGACGGUACCCAAAGAAUAAGCACCGGCUAACUUCGUG